This 244-nucleotide unclassified non-coding RNA is filed under the name Hevea brasiliensis (rubber tree). Lineage: Eukaryota; Viridiplantae; Streptophyta; Magnoliopsida; Malpighiales; Euphorbiaceae. The record is from RNAcentral.
UUUCCUUCCCAACUUAAAACCUCCAAUAAAAUGAAAAUGCAACAUUGAAGACUAAUUUAUCGCUUACAACAGUCAAUAGGCAUGUCAUUCAUGCUCAUGCUUUCAUAAUAGCUAUUACUGCUACCGACUCCUGAGACAAAAAGUGUAGCUUUGGCAGCGGCUUGAUUGGCUACUGAAGUAACCGACUGAAGUGGAGUCAACAAGCUAUCAUAAUCACCCAGCAAUUGCAAUGCAGUAAUCAGAC